Molecule: ribosomal RNA, 663 nt
Filed under: uncultured cyanobacterium
Lineage: Bacteria; Bacillati; Cyanobacteriota
Description: bacterial SSU rRNA
Rfam family: Bacterial small subunit ribosomal RNA
Source: RNAcentral
CGGACGGGUGAGUAACGCGUGAGAAUCUAGCUUUAGGUCGGGGACAACCACGGGAAACUGUGGCUAAUACCGGAUAUGCCGAGAGGUGAAAGGCUUGCUGCCUAAAGAUGAGCUCGCGUCUGAUUAGCUAGUAGGUGUGGUAAAAGCGCACCUAGGCGACGAUCAGUAGCUGGUCUGAGAGGAUGAUCAGCCACACUGGGACUGAGACACGGCCCAGACUCCUACGGGAGGCAGCAGUGGGGAAUUUUCCGCAAUGGGCGAAAGCCUGACGGAGCAAUACCGCGUGAGGGAGGAAGGCUCUUGGGUUGUAAACCUCUUUUCUCAGGGAAGAAAAAAAUGACGGUACCUGAGGAAUAAGCAUCGGCUAACUCCGUGCCAGCAGCCGCGGUAAUACGGAGGAUGCAAGCGUUAUCCGGAAUGAUUGGGCGUAAAGGGUCCGCAGGUGGCAAUGUAAGUCUGCUGUUAAAGAAUCUAGCUCAACUAGAUAAAAGCAGUGGAAACUACACAGCUAGAGUGCGUUCGGGGUAGAGGGAAUUCCUGGUGUAGCGGUGAAAUGCGUAGAUAUCAGGAAGAACACCAGUGGCGAAGGCGCUCUACUAGGCCGCAACUGACACUGAGGGACGAAAGCUAGGGGAGCGAAUGGGAUUAGAUACCCCAGUAGUC